GCCAUUCAGACGACCGAAUGGCGUAGUGGUUAGUGGCCCUGACUGCUAUGCCGAAGGUCCCGGGUUCGAUUCCCGGCUGGGGCA
This 84-nucleotide transfer RNA is filed under the name Plutella xylostella (diamondback moth). RNAcentral describes it as "tRNA-Ser". Lineage: Eukaryota; Metazoa; Arthropoda; Insecta; Lepidoptera; Plutellidae. The record is from RNAcentral.